This 207-nucleotide ribosomal RNA is filed under the name uncultured bacterium. RNAcentral's name for it is "partial 16S ribosomal RNA". It matches the Rfam family "Bacterial small subunit ribosomal RNA", at positions 1294 to 1500 of the family's 1533-position model. The record is from RNAcentral.
CAGAUUGCAGGCUGNAACCCGCCUGCAUGAAGUCGGAAUUGCUAGUAAUCGCGGAUCAGCAUGCCGCGGUGAAUACGUUCCCGGGCCUUGUACACACCGCCCGUCACACCAUGAGAGCCGGUAAUACCCGAAGUCCGUAGCCUAACCGCAAGGAGGGCGCGGCCGAAGGUAGGACUGGUAAUUAGGGUGAAGUCGUAACAAGGUACC